Molecule: ribosomal RNA, 434 nt
Filed under: uncultured bacterium
Lineage: Bacteria
Description: partial 16S ribosomal RNA
Rfam family: Bacterial small subunit ribosomal RNA
Source: RNAcentral
AGCGAACGCUGGCGGCAGGCCUAACACAUGCAAGUCGAACGAACCUUUCGGGGUUAGUGGCGGACGGGUGAGUAACACGUGGGAACGUGCCUUUAGGUUCGGAAUAACUCAGGGAAACUUGUGCUAAUACCGAAUGUGCCCUUCGGGGGAAAGAUUAAUCGCCUUUAGAGCGGCCCGCGUCUGAUUAGCUAGUUGGUUGAGGUAAUGGCUCACCAAGGCGACGAUCAGUAGCUGGUCUGAGAGGAUGAUCAGCCACAUUGGGACUGAGACACGGCCCAAACUCCUACGGGAGGCAGCAGUGGGGAAUCUUGCGCAAGGGGCGAAAGCCUGACGCAGCCAUGCCGCGUGAAUGAUGAAGGUCCUAGGAUUGUAAAAUUCUUUCACCGGGGACGAUAAUGACGGUACCCGGAGAAGAAGCCCCGGCUAACUUCGUG